CGGGGGUUCAACCUAAAGGCAGUCGGAAGCGAGCGGUGCAAGGAUGCACAGUUUGGGUUUCACUGAAUCCAUUGCCGGCGGAGGUAACAAAGCUUAUUAGGUGAUUCCUGGAGGUGAUCAAGCUCCAAGAGGAGAUCAUAAGGGGAGAAUUGGAGGCUUGGGCGGCUUCAGCAGUCGUAGUGCGAAGGCUGGGUCGAAGGGUGGCACUAGAGAUGGUG
This 218-nucleotide long non-coding RNA is filed under the name Elaeis guineensis (African oil palm). Its description in RNAcentral is "long non-coding RNA (EGUI_LNC081556)". Lineage: Eukaryota; Viridiplantae; Streptophyta; Magnoliopsida; Arecales; Arecaceae. The record is from RNAcentral.